This 843-nucleotide ribosomal RNA is filed under the name Oligosoma suteri. RNAcentral's name for it is "partial 12S ribosomal RNA". It matches the Rfam family "Bacterial small subunit ribosomal RNA". The record is from RNAcentral. Lineage: Eukaryota; Metazoa; Chordata; Lepidosauria; Squamata; Scincidae.
UUGGUCCUAAACUUGCCAUUGUUUUUAAUAAAAAUUACACAUGCAAGCUUCAACACACCAGUGAGAAUGCCCACAAACCCCUAAACAGUCUACAGGAGCAGGCAUCAGGAACACCCGCUGUUCGCCUACAACGCCUUGCUAUGCCACACCCACAAGGGCCCUCAGCAGUGAAAGAUAUUAAGAAAUAAGCGAAAGCUUGACUUAGUUAUUAUUGAUAUGGUCGGUAAAUUUCGUGCCAGCCACCGCGGUUAUACGAAAGACCAGAAACAAUGACCCACGGCGUAAAGAGUGAUAAAAGAAACACCCCAUUUAAAAGGAAACUACAACAAAGCCGUAAAACGCUACCGAUCGCAGGAACCACAACAACAAAAUGCCUUUAAGCCACUUAACCUCACGAAAGCCGAGAAACAAACUGGGAUUAGAUACCCCACUAUGCUCAGCCGUCAACAAAGACAGUACAAAAUACAAUACUGUUCGCCAGAGAACUACAAGCUAAAACUCAAAACUCCAAGGACUUGGCGGUGCUCCACACCAACCUAGAGGAGCCUGUCCUAUAAUCGAUACCCCACGAUCUACCUCACCACUUUUUGAAACUCAGCCUAUAUACCGCCGUCGUCAGCCUACCUUAUGAAAGAAGUAUAGUAAGCAAAAUAGUCAUCAACUAAAACGUCAGGUCAAGGUGUAGCACAUAAAGUGGAAGAGAUGGGCUACACUCUCUCCCCCAGAGGACACGAACAGCAUCAAUGAAACCCUGCUCAAAGGUGGAUUUAGCAGUAAGAUAAACAAGAAAACUUAUCUUAAACCAGCCCUGGAGCGCGCACACACCGCCCGUCACCCUCAUCA